This 1281-nucleotide ribosomal RNA is filed under the name uncultured bacterium. RNAcentral's name for it is "bacterial SSU rRNA". It matches the Rfam family "Bacterial small subunit ribosomal RNA", at positions 220 to 1514 of the family's 1533-position model. The record is from RNAcentral.
AUGGGGUGAGUUCGCGUCCGAUUAGAUAGUUGGUGAGGUAACGGCCCACCAAGUCAACGAUCGGUAGCCGACCUGAGAGGGUGAUCGGCCACAUUGGAACUGAGAGACGGUCCAAACUCCUACGGGAGGCAGCAGUGGGGAAUAUUGGGCAAUGGGCGAAAGCCUGACCCAGCAACGCCGCGUGAGGGAAGAAGGUUUUCGGAUUGUAAACCUCUAUCGUAGAGGACGAAGAGAAUGACGGUACUCUACAAGGAAGCCCCCGGCUAACUACGUGCCAGCAGCCGCGGUAAUACGUAGGGGGCAAGCGUUGUCCGGAAUGACUGGGCGUAAAGGGCGUGUAGGCGGCACUAUAAGUCUGGAGUGGAAGUCCGGUUUUCAAGGCCGGAAUUGCUUUGGAGACUGUAGAGCUUGAGUGCGGAAGAGGUAAGUAGAAUUCCCAGUGUAGCGGUGAAAUGCGUAGAGAUUGGGAAGAAUACCAGUGGCGAAGGCGACUUACUGGGCCGUAACUGACGCUGAGGCGCGAAAGCGUGGGGAGCGAACAGGAUUAGAUACCCUGGUAGUCCACGCUGUAAACGAUGAAUGCUAGGUGUAGCGGGUAUCGACCCCUGCUGUGCCGCAGUAAACACAAUAAGCAUUCCGCCUGGGGAGUACGGCCGCAAGGUUGAAACUCAAAGGAAUUGACGGGGGCCCGCACAAGCAGCGGAGCAUGUGGUUUAAUUCGAAGCAACGCGAAGAACCUUACCAGGUCUUGACAUCGAUCCAAGGAUAUAGAGAUAUAUUUAGUUCUUCGGAACAGGAGAAGACAGGUGGUGCAUGGUUGUCGUCAGCUCGUGUCGUGAGAUGUUGGGUUAAGUCCCGCAACGAGCGCAACCCUUAUUGUCAGUUGCUAACAGGUAAAGCUGAGAACUCUGACGAGACUGCCGGGGACAACUCGGAGGAAGGUGGGGACGACGUCAAAUCAUCAUGCCCCUUAUGACCUGGGCUACACACGUGCUACAAUGGCGGCGACAAAGAGGAGCGAGCCUGUAAAGGUAAGCGGAUCUCAAAAAAGCCGUCCCAGUUCGGAUUGUGGGCUGCAACCCGCCCACAUGAAGUCGGAGUUGCUAGUAAUCGCGGAUCAGCAUGCCGCGGUGAAUACGUUCCCGGGCCUUGUACACACCGCCCGUCGCACCAUGGGAGUUGGGAGCACCCGAAGCCAGUGAGCCAACGCAAGGAGCAGCUGUCGAAGGUGAGACCGAUGACUGGGGUGAAGUCGUAACAAGGUAACCCGGGCGGCCGCUC